Non-coding RNA from Cinara cedri, 476 nucleotides. Lineage: Eukaryota; Metazoa; Arthropoda; Insecta; Hemiptera; Aphididae. The record is from the annotation of a GenBank genome assembly.
AAUAUUCAACAUGAUUUCAAAAUAGUAACUAUAUAUUGAUAUUUUAAUUAAUAUUUUCUAUAAUAUAUGCAUGUUAUUCGGUAAACAUAAAAUGAAAAGUUAUAUAAAACCUGGCAAUUUUAAAGCAGGUGUAAAGUUUGGUGUAUAUAUUUAUAUAGGAGUGACUAUUGCGAGCUUAUGCAUCGCACCUUUCGUUUUUACUUUUGCUCCUUAUUUAAUUCUGCCAUUCGCUUUACUAGUCUCAAAACCCAUUGCUUGGAUUGCGCUUGGAGCUGUUUUCAUAGUAGCAGCUGGGUUAACUUUCAGUGCCGCAAAACCUUUAUUCGAUAUGGCAAAGGAUUCUUUACAUAGAAGAAAAAUUCAAAAUAAAGGGCAAUAUGUAACGCUAAAAGACUUAAAUAAUACUCCAGGCAGAUCAUCAGAUAGCAGCCGCAGGAGUUCUGAUGCUUCUCUUGAUUCACAAAAGAGCAGCCUCA